GGCAUUAUAAGCUGUGCCGAAGAUUGGCAUUACAACGACCGCAAAUUUAAGUUACAGCAGACACGAAACGCGCCAAACGUUCAGUGAAAUGAACAGGAUGCCGCUACACUCACAUACAAGCGAGCGCCGUCCGCUCCGUUGUCUUUUUUAGGAGACAUAGACAGAUGAAAAGAGCGUUAAAUGUGUGAAGCCGCCAACUGAGAAAUGAAAUCUUUACCACUGUCCAAACACGAAAUGCUUCCACCAUCACACCAAUAACAUCACUGGCACCUCUGACAUUUAUUUCUGUAAUUCAUUGCUUGUUUUCAUUUUUUUUUCAUUUUUGCUUGUGCCUCUAAGUGCCUUUUUCUAACAUGGCGGCAGCGAGCAGGCAUCAGCCACACCGGAGCGCGGCCAUCCACGGUGCUAUCAUCUCUCCUCCUCGGCCCAAUCGAGAUAGCUCGAGUUGCACGCUGGGAAGAUUUUAAGCGGGAGCGGGAGGCUCGGAGCCGGCGGGAGUGGUUAGCGCGCUGUCGUCCUGUCGUUGUUGUCGUUCUGAGACGGCCAUUAUAUUUGACUUGUUUGGAUACCAUCCGAUCACCAUUGUGUGCUGCCACCACUUGUAGCCUGCAGUAGUUAUUACCGCUUCUACUGGGAACUUGCGCCAUCCGCUGCACCCUCAUGCCUUUGUGCAGCAGAGACCUUUUCGGUGUGUUGCGCGGUCGCUGCAACGAGCCGGGUUGUGAGUGCAAGCGAUACACCAUUCUGCGCCUGUCGGAAAGUGACAACCUGGUGAGGUGUGACUAUUGUGACCACGUCCCAAAUGCACACGGAAAAAUAUGUGAUCUCGAAACGAAAAAUGCAGCCGAGGCAAAGGUGCAAUGCAAUGUGCCAGGCACCGCUGUUCGAGGCCUCAGUGUCACAUGAAACUGUGGAAGCUUGCACAUCUAGUCUCCUCAGUGCAAUAUGAGAGGACUGUCCCAGUUGGUGCCUCCAUAGAAAAUGAAUCGGCCUGAAUGCCUGUGCAAGAAUCACAACCUGGCUGCUCUAAAGACUCCGCACCGUAGUCCCAUGUGCAAGAGCCCCCACUUGACAGCCCAGUGGUUGCCAUGGACAAAGAGAUCCGCGAUACUGAAUGCGGCCAAGCAGUACAAGUUUUUACAUGGACAGUUAACACGAAGUUAUUGACGACAUGCAUGGCUGAAACACGGUGAUAUGAUUUUAAAAAUUCCUGUGUUAUGAUGCAAGUGAUAGUAUUCUGUUGAAUUUUCAGAUCUAGUCAUGUGCCAGCAAGGCCUGCUGUACUUCUGGUGUAUUCUAUGUUGUAUUUUCAAAUAAAGAUGUUGCAUUCUGAAGUUAACCUUAUACUGCCUGUGGAACUGUCAAUUUAUACUCAGAUUAUUUAUACAAGCUAACGGCGCCUCCUCCUCAGGCGUUCAAAUUGUGUUUUGAACUGUAUUUUUGAGAACAUUACCGUUACAUAUUUGCUCAAAAGGUGCCGCACGGGGAGUUUCAUUUCGUCAGAAAUCCCAAGGGAUACAGUAUAGUAGUAUCAUGGUAGCCCUUCGUUGGCUGAAAUACAACGAUUUAAGUGAUUUAAAUGAAAGUAAACUUUUGACACCACAUUCAGUUGAGCGUUCCUUUUUUUUUUCAGAGAAUUUCAUGUGGGCCCCGCUCUUUACAUGGUCCGACGAGCCCGGUGCGGCCUAGCAACGGGGAGGCGCCACCUUGGGUUUUGUUCCAGAAAGGCCAAAUCUCCGCAUGGUGCACCGAGUCGGCUGCCGCCAAACAACAGAGGUUCAGAGAGACACAGCGACACCCUUUGUUCCGAAAACCGCACGAGGUGGACACGUGAACUAUUUCGAAGCGCAAGCGCAUGUAAAGGCAGCGUCCGGAAAGGACUGGCCGAGGGGCUUCCUCCGCGAAGGCUCACAUUUCUCCGCGCCCGGUUGUAGACUGCUUAAUCCGGCCGCGGAAAGAAGCGCGCAAGAAAGAGGCGCAAGCAGAAAGAAGCGCGAAAGAAGGAAGAGACGCACCUUUGUUCCUAGGCGACAACUGCCUUGGCGGAGCAUGCGCAGAGCAACGGGCUUUUAUGAAACAUACCGCAGAAAGAAGAGCCGCGUCCCCGUUGCUAGGCGACACCGGCUCUAUAUACGGAGCAUGCGCAGCACGGUGUCCAUCUGGGACCUCCUGCAAGCCGCAUUGUGUGAACAUUUUAAUCGUUCAACCGGUAUAUUGUAAAAGUAACCUUUAUAUUUAGGCAAAGACACUCAAUACUGUAUGCCUAUACUAGAGGUUAAAGUGUUGUAACCUCUAGUUGAGGUGCACGCUUUCUUACCUUUAAUAGAAGUUAAAUUUGUAAAGGUUGAUUUGUAACUUAUAAGUUAAAGGUGCACAAAUCUGUGAGAAUGUACCCCUUUAGUAAA
Long non-coding RNA from Dermacentor albipictus, 2405 nucleotides. RefSeq lists it as uncharacterized. The record is from RefSeq and is a predicted model, not a curated record. NCBI's taxonomy places the organism in Eukaryota, Metazoa, Arthropoda, Arachnida, Ixodida, Ixodidae.